Molecule: ribosomal RNA, 303 nt
Filed under: uncultured bacterium
Lineage: Bacteria
Description: partial 16S ribosomal RNA
Rfam family: Bacterial small subunit ribosomal RNA
Source: RNAcentral
AGCAGUCGCCACGGUAAAACGGAGGGUGCAAGCGUUAAUCGGAAUUACUGGGCGUAAAGCGCACGCAGGCGGUUUGUUAAGUCAGAUGUGAAAUCCCCGAGCUUAACUUGGGAACUGCAUUUGAAACUGGCAAGCUAGAGUCUUGUAGAGGGGGGUAGAAUUCCAGGUGUAGCGGUGAAAUGCGUAGAGAUCUGGAGGAAUACCGGUGGCGAAGGCGGCCCCCUGGACAAAGACUGACGCUCAGGUGCGAAAGCGUGGGGAGCAAACAGGAUUAGAUACCCCAGUAGUCCCUGUCUCUUAUAC